Small nuclear RNA from Bubalus bubalis (water buffalo), 107 nucleotides. The record is from RefSeq and is a predicted model, not a curated record. NCBI's taxonomy places the organism in Eukaryota, Metazoa, Chordata, Mammalia, Artiodactyla, Bovidae.
GCACUUACUUCAGCAGCACAUAUACUAAAAUUGGAGCAAUACAGAGUAGAUUAGCAUGGCUUCUGCACAAAGAUGACACAUAAAUUUGUGAAACAUUCAAUAUUUUU